RNAcentral lists this unclassified non-coding RNA (271 nucleotides) under Moritella viscosa. RNAcentral describes it as "putative sRNA". Lineage: Bacteria; Pseudomonadati; Pseudomonadota; Gammaproteobacteria; Alteromonadales; Moritellaceae. The record is from RNAcentral.
AAUAAAGAUGAACGUUCUAAUUUAGAUAGUCAGAAUUUAAAUGGUGCUUAUAUAGAAGAUAUUUUUAGAUUUACAAUGUUAAAAAUCCAUAUUUUUCUUAAAUCCCCCCUGCUUAUUGCAUUAGUACUGCGAUUAACUCUGCUAGUUAGCAAUAAUAACUGCAUUUAUACAUAUUUAAAAUAAAAACAAAACACUUAUAAAUCAAUAGUUUUAUACAUAUAAAAAGCCAUAAAUAUAAUUAGAACUUUUGAUACAUAUCAAAUUUUGACCU